This 253-nucleotide ribosomal RNA is filed under the name uncultured bacterium. Its description in RNAcentral is "partial 16S ribosomal RNA". It matches the Rfam family "Bacterial small subunit ribosomal RNA", at positions 524 to 776 of the family's 1533-position model. The record is from RNAcentral.
UACGGAGGGUGCAAGCGUUAUCCGGAUUCACUGGGUUUAAAGGGUGCGUAGGAGGGCAGGUAAGUCAGUGGUGAAAUCUUCGAGCUUAACUCGGAAACUGCCGUUGAUACUAUCUGUCUUGAAUACCGUGGAGGUGAGCGGAAUAUGUCAUGUAGCGGUGAAAUGCUUAGAUAUGACAUAGAACACCAAUUGCGAAGGCAGCUCGCUACACGAAUAUUUACUCUGAGGCACGAAAGCGUGGGGAUCAAACAGG